RNAcentral lists this ribosomal RNA (753 nucleotides) under uncultured bacterium. RNAcentral describes it as "bacterial SSU rRNA". It matches the Rfam family "Bacterial small subunit ribosomal RNA", at positions 46 to 783 of the family's 1533-position model. The record is from RNAcentral.
GCAGCUACCAUGCAGUCGAGCGGAACGAGUUAUCUGAACCUUCGGGGAACGAUAACGGCGUCGAGCGGCGGACGGGUGAGUAAUGCCUAGGAAAUUGCCCUGAUGUGGGGGAUAACCAUUGGAAACGAUGGCUAAUACCGCAUGAUGCCUACGGGCCAAAGAGGGGGACCUUCGGGCCUCUCGCGUCAGGAUAUGCCUAGGUGGGAUUAGCUAGUUGGUGAGGUAAGGGCUCACCAAGGCGACGAUCCCUAGCUGGUCUGAGAGGAUGAUCAGCCACACUGGAACUGAGACACGGUCCAGACUCCUACGGGAGGCAGCAGUGGGGAAUAUUGCACAAUGGGCGCAAGCCUGAUGCAGCCAUGCCGCGUGUGUGAAGAAGGCCUUCGGGUUGUAAAGCACUUUCAGUCGUGAGGAAGGUAGUGUAGUUAAUAGCUGCAUUAUUUGACGUUAGCGACAGAAGAAGCACCGGCUAACUCCGUGCCAGCAGCCGCGGUAAUACGGAGGGUGCGAGCGUUAAUCGGAAUUACUGGGCGUAAAGCGCAUGCAGGUGGUUUGUUAAGUCAGAUGUGAAAGCCCGGGGCUCAACCUCGGAAUUGCAUUUGAAACUGGCAGACUAGAGUACUGUAGAGGGGGGUAGAAUUUCAGGUGUAGCGGUGAAAUGCGUAGAGAUCUGAAGGAAUACCGGUGGGCGAGCGCCCCUGGACAGAUACUGACGCUCAGUGCGAAAGCGUGGGGGAGCAAACAGGAUAGAAU